Molecule: unclassified non-coding RNA, 171 nt
Filed under: uncultured Trichoderma
Lineage: Eukaryota; Fungi; Ascomycota; Sordariomycetes; Hypocreales; Hypocreaceae
Description: sequence contains ITS2
Source: RNAcentral
CAACCCUCGAGCCCCUCCGGGGGGUCGGCGUUGGGGAUCGGCCCUCCCUCGCGGGGGCCGGCCCCGAAAUGCAGUGGCGGUCUCGCCGCAGCCUCUCCUGCGCAGUAGUUUGCACAACUCGCACCGGGAGCGCGGCGGGCCCAUGCCGUGAAACAGCCCAACCUUCUGAAA